Xenia sp. Carnegie-2017 is the source of this 533-nucleotide long non-coding RNA. RefSeq lists it as uncharacterized. Lineage: Eukaryota; Metazoa; Cnidaria; Anthozoa; Malacalcyonacea; Xeniidae. The record is from RefSeq and is a predicted model, not a curated record. The transcript is spliced from 2 exons.
AUUCUUUUAGAACAUUUGCUUUUAAAUUCAAAUGCAAUUGUAAGGCUCAAUUGCCAACUUUUGUCGAUCAUUUUAUUUCUUCUAUGAAGUAGAAAACUUUUGUAGUGUUAAUUAAUGGCAUGUAGUAGAGAUUUUAAGUAUUCUGUGUUUGCAAAAAAUGUGCUAUUUAUAAUUGUGUGAUUGAUUUUCUUUAGCUUAGUUAAAAAGAUCCUCUAUAUUGGUCAAAUGGUCAUGGAUAUGCACCUGAAAAAAAUGCUUAUUUAAUGGAAUUGGUUGUUUUGACCUAUAAAAAUUGUUCUUCUCAGGUGCAUUCAAAUGACCAAUUUUUUUUGGUCAUUUUGACCAAUCUAUUUUUACUGUGUAGAACAUUGGAUUCCAGGGUUAGAAAAUUACUUGAUCAUAAAACUAAAUGGCAUUUUCAAAUCUUGAAAAAGUUUGACGUAAAAUAAUAUUAAAUAUAUAAUUUUAUUUUGACUAUGUUGAUUAAAUCUACUUCAUUCAGUAGCUAAAUAAUUGCAGGCUACCAACAUGUA